GUCUUUUUAAUAGUAUGAAUUUGUGAUUAGUUAAACGGAUUAGGGUUGUUGAGUUUCUGUUCGCAAAUUAGGGUUCUUCGAUUUCCAAUUUAUUGGAAUAUCAUUGCCGUUACUAGAAUUUGGAUCAAAGGAGAAGUUCAAGUUCCCCACUUUUCUGGUUUUCUCAUUGAUGUUGCUGUUUUUGAUUCAGACUUGAUAACUAACGAUGGUUUCUUCUAGUUCUCUAUUUGCAGAUUAGUUUGAAUAACGAUGAAGAAGAAGACUCCGACUGCUUAGGUUUUGUUUCUAUCAUCAACACCACAAUCCAUAAGUGUAGACUGUGAUAUUUCUAUCAUUAACACCACAAUCCAUAAGUGUAGACUGUGAUAUUUCUAUCAUCAACACCACAAUUGUUUGCUGUUGUUUCUCUAUAUGGAUUAGAUGGAAGAUGAUAUAUGCAAGGCUCUCUUUCUUCCCAUUAUUGUCGACGAUGAUGAUGCCUUUUUCUAGUCUUCAUCACUUUAGAACAGACUGAUCAUAGCUUAAUGAAUCUGUUUUGUUAAUCUACCUGGAACUUAUUAUCUUUUCUUUCUCUUGCAGGACUUUCAUCUUUAAACAUUGGCAAGGGAGGGCUUAGUAACCAGCCAGCAUACAGAGAGACAUCUGCAAUUGCUUUAACAAAAGAAGUGUCUGACUAAGCAGUUCAAAGAGAUAUGGUUUGAACUUUAAAGUAUGAAUGCAGUUUCAUAAUAAAAACUUGGCCGAUGAGAAUGCUCACGGUAACAACAUCAGAGUGAUUCUAGUGAUUGAUGGUCUUUGACUCAAUACAAUACGUCUUCCUUGUCCACUUCGAAUUCCCCAUCCAUAACUUCGCUAGAUGGAGAUAUUAUAUGGUUCCCUUUCCUCCGAUGGAAAAUUCUCUCUUCUUGCUCCCCAACCUAUUUGGAAGCUGUCCAAAAUUGUGGACACCACUAUCAUCAACAGACUUAAAAGGCGUUAAGAUCAGAGAUGGUUUGAAGAAUGAUGAAGACAACCCAGACGCUUAAGUUUUUGUAUCUAUCAUCAACACAGUUCAUAAGUGAAGUCUAAGAUUUUGGUUUUGUUUGUUGUUGUUUCUCUAUGUGGAUUUGAUGAAACAUGAUAUAUGCAAUAAUUUCAUAUUGUACUUUAAUUUAUUUAUUUUCAAAAAAAAAAAUCAAAUUUAGAGACUCAA
This is a non-coding RNA of Camelina sativa (false flax), 1192 nucleotides long. The record is from RefSeq and is a predicted model, not a curated record. NCBI's taxonomy places the organism in Eukaryota, Viridiplantae, Streptophyta, Magnoliopsida, Brassicales, Brassicaceae.